RNAcentral lists this transfer RNA (77 nucleotides) under candidate division BRC1 bacterium HGW-BRC1-1. RNAcentral's name for it is "tRNA-Arg". It matches the Rfam family "tRNA". Rfam says of the family: Transfer RNA (tRNA) molecules are approximately 80 nucleotides in length. Their secondary structure includes four short double-helical elements and three loops (D, anti-codon, and T loops). The record is from RNAcentral. Lineage: Bacteria; Candidatus Sumerlaeota.
GCGCCCGUAGCUCAGCUGGAUAGAGCGUUAGCCUCCGGAGCUAAAGGCCGUAGGUUCGAACCCUACCGGGCGCACCA